UGAUUAUUACUUGGCUUUGGCUAAAUUACAUGAACAUAUAUUUGAAUUCAUCAUUUCAUUAGUCAUUUCGGGUGGAAAGUUUGUGAAAAGUGGAGAAAAACAUUUUUGCCGGAUUUUGGGUUAUUAAGCGAGAUUUUGGUAUCAGAUUUGAGUAACUUUUAUAUGGUUGGACUCGAAUUUUGUAACUUUCAUCAAAUUCCGAUACGUAGGCCGGGGGGUUAACUUUUGAGUUGACUUUUUGACUUUUGAUUUAGAACUUAACAUUUUCAUAUGGAAUUGAUUCAUAUAGCUCGUGUUGAUUGUAUCGAUAUGUUUGUGGCUAGAUUCGAGGCAUUCGGAGACCGAUGCACGAGGAAAAGGCUUGUUGGGGUAGAGAUUUCCACGGUCUAAGGUACGUAACAUUACUGAACUUGGUUCUAAGGGUAUGAACCCCUAAACUAUGUGUUAUGUGGUCGAUGUUGAGGUGAUACACAAGCUAGGUGGCGGGCGUGCAUCAUAGGAAUUGUGACCUAGUCGAUUCCGUGGAUAUGUAUAGUUGAAUAAUCUCGUUGUUAUUUGUAUUUUUUCCUUGUUUUAGAGAAAUUGAGCUACGAUUCAUAUUACAAAUCAUACUUAGGCUAUAUGGUGGUAUUGUUGGUAUCCACAAAGGACGUAUUACUGUUAAAUUAUUUGCUUAAUUUGCAAUUAUGUACUCGAUCACAUCUAUCAUCCACAUACCAUUUAUCAGCCUCUGUUGCCAUUUAUUGAUACUUCAUUUCAUCAUUGUUUAGGCUGAUUUUCAUGACAUUAUAAGCCCGAGAGACUGGAGAGAUUGGUGACUGAGUGAAGCAGAUGGCCUGAUUGUGAGGAGAUUUAUGGGAUCGUGCUGCACGUCGCAGCAGGCUUUAUUGAUUCAUGCCAUGAUUGGCUUAUUAUAGCACUUGGGUCGGAUCUGUCCCUUUGGAAUCUGCACGCCCAUAGUGAGCGCAUGUACGUAGCGAGUGCGAGUGCAAGUGUCGAGCGAUCGGAAGGAUUGAGUGACUGCGAGGAUGGAGUGACUAUUAGGAUGGAGUUAAUGAGAGGAUUGAGUGAUUGAUAUUCUGAGAGUAUGCAUAUGAUUUUAUCAAUGUUUUGUAUUUCAGUUGGCAUAUAUGACUGGCAUGUAAAUAUCGAGAAGUAUUAUUAUCUCAUUUCAAUUGUACUUGACAUAUCUUACAUGUUUGAGCUUUAACUGUUAAACUUGAAAGCAUGUCUACAUUUCUUGUACUAUAUCUCUAUAACUGGACUGUACUUGUGAAACUCGUAAUUGCUUUCAGCCCUUCGGACUUGUUAUUUAUUGAGUUGGUUAUACUCAUGCUAUACCAAAUACUUCGUGUGCAGAUCCAUGUGUUUUCGGGCACGAUUGUUGUUGAUUCUUGGCGUUUCAUCAGUCCGGAGAUCAUCGAGUUAGCUGUCUUGGAGUUUGCAGACCUUGACUCUCCAUCCCCUAUUUUUUAGUUUUAUUUAUUUAGUUCUACUUUUUAGACAAUGUAUCAAACUAUGUCAUUAUAUAGAUGCUCAUGUACC
Molecule: long non-coding RNA, 1545 nt
Filed under: Nicotiana benthamiana
Lineage: Eukaryota; Viridiplantae; Streptophyta; Magnoliopsida; Solanales; Solanaceae
Description: long non-coding RNA (NBEN_LNC016286)
Source: RNAcentral